UUGAACGCUGGCGGCAUGCCUUACACAUGCAAGUCGAACGGCAGCACGGGAGCAAUCCUGGUGGCGAGUGGCGAACGGGUGAGUAAUAUAUCGGAACGUGCCCGGUCGUGGGGGAUAACGUAGCGAAAGCUACGCUAAUACCGCAUACGAUCUACGGAUGAAAGCGGGGGAUCGCAAGACCUCGCGCGAUUGGAGCGGCCGAUAUCAGAUUAGGUAGUUGGUGAGGUAAAAGGGCUCACCAAGCCGACGAUCUGUAGCUGGUCUGAGAGGACGACCAGCCACACUGGGACUGAGACACGGCCCCAGACUCCUACGGGAGGCAGCAGUGGGAAUUUUGGACAAUGGGCGCAAGCCUGAUCCAGCAAUGCCGCGUGCAGGAUGAAGGCCUCCGGGUUGUAAACUGCUUUUGUACGGAACGAAACGGUGAGCUCUAAUACAGUUUGCUAAUGACGGUACCGUAAGAAUAAGCACCGGCUAACUACGUG
Molecule: ribosomal RNA, 485 nt
Filed under: uncultured bacterium
Lineage: Bacteria
Description: bacterial SSU rRNA
Rfam family: Bacterial small subunit ribosomal RNA
Source: RNAcentral